GUUGGUAGGGUAAGAGCCUACCAAGGCGACGAUCAGUAGCUGGUCUGAGAGGAUGAGCAGCCACACUGGGACUGAGACACGGCCCACACUCCUACGGGGGGCGGCAGUGGGGGAUUUUCCCCAUUGGGGGAAAACCUGACGGAGCAAAACCGCGUGGGGGAGGAAGGUGCUUGUGUUGUCAACCCCUUUUCUCAAGGGAGAAAAUCUGACGGUCCUUGAUGAAUAAGCAUCAGCUAAUUCCUUGCCACCAACCGCGGUAAUACUGAGGAUGCAAGCGUUAUCCUGAAUAAUUGUGCGUCAAAAGUCCCUAGGUGGCGAAUCCAGUCUACUGUCUUAGAACGAGGCGUAACUUCAUGAAGGCCGUGGAAACUGAUGAGCUAGAGGGCAGUAGGGGCGGAAGGAAUUCCUGGUGUAGCGGUGAAAUGCUUAGAUAUCACGAAGAACACCGGUGGCGAAAGCGCUCUGCUGCGCUGCAACUGACACUGAUGGACGAAAACUCCGGGAGCGAAUGGGAUUUUAUACCCCCCUAGUCAAAAAUCAGGCACGAAAGCGUGGGGAGCCAAAGGGAUUAG
This 572-nucleotide ribosomal RNA is filed under the name Planktothrix sp. NTRD01. Its description in RNAcentral is "bacterial SSU rRNA". It matches the Rfam family "Bacterial small subunit ribosomal RNA", at positions 248 to 839 of the family's 1533-position model. The record is from RNAcentral. Lineage: Bacteria; Bacillati; Cyanobacteriota; Cyanophyceae; Oscillatoriales; Microcoleaceae.